Peromyscus leucopus (white-footed mouse) is the source of this 756-nucleotide non-coding RNA. The record is from the annotation of a RefSeq genome assembly. Lineage: Eukaryota; Metazoa; Chordata; Mammalia; Rodentia; Cricetidae.
ACCUGCUUCCUUUGGGUGAGUUCUCAAGUUUAUUUACAGUAUUUUGUGCAGACACAUGUGGUACACAUUGAAGGGAAAUCAGCAGAGGGCGCUGCCUCUUCACUUGUGGUUAAUGUCUGCAUCCAGGUGGUGGCUUCACAUGACAGACUGUCACUGGGCAGGAGGACCUUGUUUAUGAGUGAAGAGUUUGAGUAAGGUCCUGCAGGAGACUUGUCCUGUGAGUUUAGUGCACUCAAGAACCAAGUGUUAUUUUCUUCCGUGGACAUGCUUCCUGACACCUGCUCAGUUCUGGUGCUCUUCUUCAUGCUCAGGAGGAGCAAUGGAGACUCGGUGACCCAGACAGAAGUCUUGGUCACUGUCACAGAGGGGUUGCCUGUGAUGAUAAACUGCACCUAUCAGACUACUGACUCAGCUCCUUUCCUUUUCUGGUAUGUGCAAUAUCCCAACAAAGCCCCUCGGCUACUCCUGAGGAGCUUCACAGACAACCAGAGGACAGAGCACCAAGGGUUCCAGGCCACUCUCCAGAAGAGCAGCAGCUCCUUCCACCUGCAGAAGUCCUCAGUGCAGCUGGCAGACUCUGCCCUGUACUACUGUGCUCUGAGUGCCACAGUGAGGGGACUGCAGGGGAAGCUGCACACAAACCCAGGGUGCAGGAGGCUGAGGGAGUGGCCUGUGAGGGAGGGCUGUGUGCCUUCUCUGAGUGGGGUUUACCCAGACUCCCGAAACACAGCAGCACAUCUCAGGUCAAAUUCCUAG